Molecule: long non-coding RNA, 6557 nt
Organism: Aethalodelphis obliquidens (Pacific white-sided dolphin)
Lineage: Eukaryota; Metazoa; Chordata; Mammalia; Artiodactyla; Delphinidae
Exons: 4
Source: RefSeq, a predicted model, not a curated record
GUUUGAUGCAGGCCCAUUUGUUUAUUUUUACUUUUGUUGCUUAGUUCUUAUUUUUUGUUGUCUGCUUUUGCCACAUUGUGACUGACUCUUCUUUUGUCCGAAAGACAGGACACUGGCUGGUUAAUUAUGAGAGUAAAAUUCACCACACAAACCCAGCAGAAAGAUUGUGGGGAAAACCAUUUCAGUUUAGGGUUAGACCCACCAGUUAGCGUUUCUCUUCACUUGCAGUUGAAAACACCUUAAUAUUGUGACAGAUAUUUAACAAGGAUAAGAUGAUAGUGGGAGACUCCUUCCAUACAAACCCAAUCUCCCCUAGAUUUGGAGUCUCAAUUAGAAAAAAUUAACUUCAAGAAAACAGUUUACCAAAAAUGUUUAAAUUCCUAGGUGAAAGAGGCUUUCUUACUCUUUUCUUUUGUUCUAGGCUCUGACCCCAUGGAAUAAAAGAGACCCUAUUUAGGGACAGUUAGUUUUGCUGCCCAGAAGAUUCUCUCUCUUCUCUGGUGGGCUUUUAGAAACCUUUGGGUUACUUGAAUCCCAAAUUAACCCAUGUUGUGCAACAUGUAAUCAAUUAGGGAGAUUUUUCAAUGGAAAUCAUCCAAUUUUGUAAGAAUUGGUUGACACGUUUCCCCUUUCUAAUAUGAUACACUUCCAUAGCUUCAUUCAUUCCUCUCCUAAUACUCUCUCAAAUAGAAGUUUCAAAUCAUUUGCCGUUUAGCAAGUGUUUUCUCCUAUCUUGUGAUUUACUCCUGUAACAUUUAAAGUAGACUCUGCAGUUUACUGGAAGGUGUGACUAUGAUGCAAAUUCAGCCCUCCUGGCCUGUUCACAAUGGAAGUUUUGCCGUAAAAGAUGAAUUACGAUGUAAUAGCUGAGUAGAACUAAAAAAGUCAAUGCAGUUGCCCUUUGGUGCAUUUGGGGGCUAAUGAUAUUUAAGUCAAUACGGCUGAAAAAGAAAAAUAAAUGUCAAACCAAAUACCAAAGAAUGAAUAACCUACUGCGAGAUUGCUAGAAUCAUAAGCAGUUACCGAUGCUCUAAGAUUGCUCUGAGAGCCCCGUCAAUACACUGGUCUCACGGUAAUUAAAAAAUUCUAAAAAGCCAAUACUUAUUUUGUCAAAGACACAAAUGGAAAUCCAACCUGGAAUGUGAACAAAUUAAGAGUUCUGAUUGUGCUCAAGCUGGGGCAGUUAGCAAUUAUUCUUGAAAGAAUAUUUCUGCCGAGAACUUUCUUCUAAAACUCAAAAUACUAGAGAAUCACACAAGCUGGAAAGGACUUAAGAAACUAUUUAGUUGCUUCAUUUUAUAUAUUUGGAAGCUGUGGCUCAGAAAGGUUACGUGACUUGCCCAUGGUCACGUUGCCAUGUGACUGUGACUCUUGGCUGGCCCGGUGAUCUUUAAAUUUGCUUAUCUUGAGGUCCUUGUCUUAUGUAUCAUCCCAAUUCUCUCUUCUAUUGUAAAAGAGCUCCUCCUUUAAAAAAUCCUGUCUCUUUGGCAUAUUAAUUACUUUAAGCUGGUUAUUUUCUAGGAAACCGCAGACAUGGGAAAAAUUCUGAAAACUAAUUAGGAGUUACCCUUUUGUAAGAAACGUUUAUAUUUGUAAGGGAAAUCUCUAUAUGCAAGGGUGUCUCCUUCCAUGUACCAGGAAGAGAAAGAUGACCAAAUCUCUAGAAAUUCUUAACCAUGAGGAAGGCAAUGACUUAAAUCUGCAUAACGCCCUUACCAUUGUUUACUGUGCUUUUCCUGAUAAGCUCCCAUCAGAGAGUUACUGACUCUCCCAUCCUCAACAUCCUCUUUUGUCGUUAGCUGAAGAUGGUAUUUAAGAUGAGGGCUCAGUUCUCCUUUGUCUCUCCCGUGUAUUCACGUGACUCAACUUUUUGUUUGAUUUUCUCCUGUUAAUGUGUCUCAUGUCAAUUUACUUCUUAGACCAGCCCGAAGAACUUAGAAGGGUAGAGGAAAAUACCUUCCUCCCUGAUACAGUGUUAUAAUGGAAGUGUUGAAUGGAUGUCCCCUUGGCUCUAACACAUAAAUAAGUAAGGUGAAUUCUACAGAGAGAUCAUAGGCCAUAGGGCUUUCAGUGAGGCCAGACUGGCAGCUCCUCCGUAGGAGCUGGAUACGGGCUCACAGGUGUUCAGUGAAAAAGAUAGCAAUCCAACAUCCACAGCCUGCACAGGAAUAAAAGAAACCAAGGAAACUGAGUAUUCACAGCCCUUUAAAUAAGAAGGCCAGGCCCAUAUCAAAAGCCAGAGAACAGAGAUGGAAGAACUUGAAUACCAAAGACAGGAAAAUGGACAGAGAUAUCAGGAGAAUGAAGAAAGAGGGUGACAUCAAAGAUGACCAGAUGUUGUCAAAAGGCUGGGAGUAAAAAGCAGGCACUUGAUCCCAAGCUGGUGAGUAAACAGAAUGGGCCAACUGGUAAACCUUUUGGCCCUAGGAUUAUGCUGGGUCUAGUGGAGAAACCUUGGUCUCAAAGUCGAGUCCCAACUCUAGCCAUGCCUCCUUCAUCCAUUGAUUCGUUCAUGUAAUAUUUAUGAACACACACUGUGCGCCAGGAGCUCUAUUACGUGCUAGGGGAUAAAUCCAUGAAUAAGACAGACAUAGUUCCUGUCUUUACAGUCUAUCAGGGAGACAGACAUCACCUAAAUCACUACACAAACAAUCAUUUAUUUACCUUGUGGCAAAAGUUAUGAAAGGCAAGCACAGCAUACAGUGAGAAUUCAUAAAAGGGGCAUCUCACUUGGCUUGAAGACACGGGGAAGUUGUGGUAUCCGUUUUUAAAAUGGAAACAGAUAUCUAAUGGAAGGCAGGUAAUUUGCAUUUUAGGUGUAUAAACACACCAACCGUUACUAAGCAGUAAUAUCAAACAGAAUCGUAUACCUGAACGGACCAUGUGUACUAGAAACCCAGUGAGGAGGGGGAGAAAGGGACUCCACUGGGGAAGCCAGAGGACACAGGAGAAGUUGGGUCCCCAGCGCUGCUGGAUGAAAGCAGAGGUGAAGCUCCUUCUCACUUUCACUUAGAACCAGAAAUAGGUCGCUGAGCAUGAAUAAGGCUGCAGUGCAGCCAGUCAGUCUCUGUCUGAACUCAAUGCCCCGGUUCUGGUUCCCAGCCCGCGUUUUGGUUUCCCUGGUACUGAGGACUGCCGUGCACCCUACUUCCUUCUCAGCCCGCUUAACCCAGCUUCUCUGAACUGUCCCCAGGCUUCUGGAUAUUGCUCACCUAUGUGCUGGAUCUCUGCAGGUAAGAAUCAGGACUGGACAGAGUCUGGGUCUUACGCGGUGAUGCCUUGCUGCUUAGAGACUGACCCUUCUGUUUUUGAUGUAUCUUUGAAUUCAUUCUCCCAUGGCCAGACCCCACAGCACUACAGAAUUCCAAGGAUGUCCACCCCUGUAAGAUCAGGUACUAGAACUCCAGGUUCUGCUACUUCAACUGGAUUCCUUGCAAGCUCAUGACUAUGUAUGACUCGAUCCAGUCAUGAGUCUCUUCCUAGGUAAAGUGAGUAAAUCAAUCAAUCUGUAUUUUAACAGAUACCUUCUGAAAACAUGCUUCAGCCAAAAGUGGAAUUCUAAGGGUAGACACAUGGGCAUGGUGGGGUAGAGCAGAGGUUUGUGGGUGGGGGACUUUGGGUACCUAAGUAGCACACCACACGCUGGAUCAACCACCCCCAUCCAUCCCUUACGGAUACAGCAGACGCGCCCUCCAAGAGCCAAAGUGGGUGUGCAGAACGCAUGCCCUAGAAAGGAAGAGAACUUGGUAAUGGUUUCUUAGGAGAAAUAAACCCCAAGUGGAAGUGGACAUUUGAGCAGAGUUUUAAAAGAAAAGUCAGGCUGGCACACCAGAAGCCUCCUGGGGUGAGGUUGAACCUCUGCAAAGCUCUGGUUUCUCAUUGCCCAUCUUGUUUUUCUCAGUUACAAAUCAGUCUGGCCCUUCCCUGUUUUCUUUCAUCAUCCUCCAUCCUUAGAGAGAUCAUCUCAGCCCAGAGACAGACAGCUAUUAUUCUGGCUUCUGGUUUGUAUUGUGUUAACUGCCUGAGAAGAUGUGCUGUCCAUCUCCUCGGGUAUAAAAUGGGGAUAACACCCCUAUCCUGGUAUGGUUGUUGUAAGACGGGAACGUGAGGGGAAUUAAACAAAGUUGAGUUCCUGCCCCCUUGCCAAAAAUACUUUGACUAAUUUCGAAUACUUUGUUUGUUCAGUGAUUAUUUAUUGAGCACCUACUAUGGGCCAGGCACUGUUCUGAGUACCGUAGAGGUAGCAGUGGGUAAGAUAAAGUUCCUGUCGUUGUAAGGCUGACUUUCUAUUGGGAAGAAAUAGGUAAGGACCUGGUAAGCAAAUACAUAAUAUAAACUCAGAUCAUCAGUGAAGAUAACAAAUAGGACAAUGAAGUAGAGAAUGACUGUGGGGUUGGAAGGAUCACAUACACAUCUUUCCGUGCUAAGCUAAGAUUUUAAACCAGUGUGCUCAAUUUUCCCAUAAGUGAUCAGACUGAUAAAUACAGUGAUUAAUACUCCAGGACUGACUACUACCAGAUCAUCUUCCAGACCAUGGGUCCUGAAUGGGGGUGGCAGACCUUAGUCUCUGCCUUCAAGUUGCAUUUGCAUAGCAGGCUGAUCAGAGGGCCCAGGUGUAACUUGCCAUCUCAGUAGACCCUGAUGUCCACAGAGGGGCCACAUGAGGUUAAACCCAGGACCAGGUAUUUCAAGGGUGGCUGGCAGGGCUCUGCCUGCUUGUACACAGAACACCAGAAGUUAAACUGAGGUCUCUGACCCCUAGGUCCUUGGAGCCCCGGGGAGGCUACUGCUUUGUGUAGAUGAAGCUAAAGCCAGAAUCGUGACUGAAUUACAACCAGGAAACCACGUGUGGCAGCUGAACUGCUGGAGGUGUUGAGCCAGGACAGAGCAGCUCAGAACUGAGGCGCAAGAGAGGGUUGAACACAGCUGGAUUGGAAGUCAGACGGUCUACUAGCUCCAGAGGGCAUGCCCUUCAAAGCCUGGUGUGCUUGGAACCUGAAGGCUCUCAAAUCACCAGGGGCAGUGGAGAGCCGGGAGAAGCCUGCUGGCAUCUUAGGACAGCAAUCACUAGAGGAUUCUCCAUCUUGCUUCUUUGGAGCCAGGGGAAAGCAGGAGCAGCCAGCAUGCAGGCGACCAUUUACCCUUUCCAGGCCUGGGAGAGAGAAAAAGCAGCUGACCCAAGGCCCUGGGCCCUCAGCUCUCAUGAGCUGACAUCCGAGAAUCAGCUGUGUGUAGUGGGGAACACGGCUGACUUGGAAUCUGAAAGCCAGGCAGGAAUGUGAAUAUUUGAUUUCAAUCUGGGAAAAUUCCAGAGGACUAAAUUCAGAGGAUUUAUGAACACCAUCAUAUCCAAACAACUGGAUUUCGUUGACAAACACAGACUUAUUUUGUAGCUCAAACUGGGACAUUUCAACUAUAUUAAAAGGCAAAGAUAAAGAAAUGGAAACAGUAGAUAGAAUGCAACUCACAGAGCUUCCACAUAUAUGUUUAUUUUACUCUGGUUAACGUUUAAGCCUCAGGAGUCCAAAAAUAAGUUAGAAUCAUAGACAGCAUCAUUUCCUAAAGCCGUGUUCUCUUCCUAUACACCCUCCAAAGCCACACAAAAGUACAAGAUGGACCUCAUCUACUCGUAACAGGGAGAGAGCAGCAUUUUCUCAGAUCCAGGUGGAGCUUUCCAGAAAGAGCUUCCCAAUCUUCAUGACCAUAACCACGGUGUCCAAGAUGAUAGCUGGAAAAUAAGGUUAAAUACCAUUAUACGAAACUUUCCAUAACUUGGAUGCCAGCAGCCCUAGCUUCCAUUCCAUCUGUAAUCUGGUUUCUCUACCUCAUUUAAUAUUUUACUACCAUUUUUAUGUACAUGGAAGUACUUCACAGAAGUAAUGAAUGUCUUAACUAUACAUAAGGCCUUUCCACGUAGGACUAUUAGGUUCAGCAUUAUUCUGCUGGGUGCUGCAAGGCCCUUUGUUGUGUCCAGGUUUCUGUGCUUAUACAGCAGGAUGCCGGAAUCUUAAAAGGAAGCAGAAGGCUGAAGACUAAAGGUCACCGUGCAACCCGGUCAGUGACGAGGAUUCAGCUGGUGACUGAGUCAUCCUUGACCCCCAACCUCCCUGACUGCCUUCUCGUCCGCUCUUCUCGUCUGUGGCUGAGCACCUUGAGGUGCUGGUCCACGCUCCUGACCUGCUUCCUGCUGCAAGCCCACCACCAUCUAAAGAGUCACCCCAUCCCAUCAGCCUAGUCCUGUCUCACAUGAAUCCCACCGCAGUGGCUCUGCAAGAAAAGCCUAAACUCCUUCAAUAUGUUUUAGAAAGAUUUACAUUAUCACAAGCAUUUCAAAAGAAGGAGCGAGGCAUCGGUUAAAUUGACCAUGAAAUUAACCAUAAUCCUGCCACAAAGUAUUCAACUAAUUGAGAUUACAGUCCCCAAACUAACACAGCAUUCAGUGCAGUUACUAAAGGAGGUUAUGCAAAAUACAUGCUAUGCAAACACCUAUCUAAAAGGAAUGGAUAAGGAAAUUUUUUAAAGUUUUUCUUCCCAGUUUUACUGAGAUAUAAUUGAUG